UUAGAACAUUCACAUUAAAUAUCAUUAGUCUCACAAAUAUUCAUGAUUCCAGUGUGAAUCUCUAACUUUGUAUAGAUGAAAUGAUGAGAGCAUGUCGUUAAGAAGAAAAUAAAAAGGAAAGGACUCUAAAAUUAUGUGAAAUGUUGUAACGUGUAAUCUAAUUCAUCUCAAAGUAUGUUAAUCAAACAAGACUUCCUUUAUCGUUGACAUUCUCCUUCACGCGUGCCAUUAAUUUCAGGGGGGCUGAAGUUAAGGAAAUGGUAUGGGGCAUCUGACCUCCUUCCAAAAGAUGGAUCCCUUUCAGAAGAAAAUGAGUUUUCUGAAUGGAAGAAGAUGAAGUCAGGGAUGCAGUUUUAGUUACCGAUGGAGAUAAUGAGAUUGGCCAGAUGGUUAUAUUGUCUUUGAUAAUCAAAUGAACUCGAAUCAAAGCUCUGGUAAAGGAUAAGCGGGCUAUAAAUGAAAGCUUUUGGUUGGUGGCAUUCUUAUAUAUUUUUUAAGUAUCAUUUAUUUGGUUGUAUUUUAAUACUUAAUCUUCCUAAGCUGCUAUGAAGCCAAUAGUAGGUGAGAAUAUUGAAGAUUUUGUAUAAUCUAAAGUAAUUUAAUUUGUCUCUUUUUUUCAAGGUCUGUUUGUUACAUUAUUUUGUGGUGUAUAACUUACUAUUAUA
Molecule: long non-coding RNA, 665 nt
Organism: Capsicum annuum
Lineage: Eukaryota; Viridiplantae; Streptophyta; Magnoliopsida; Solanales; Solanaceae
Exons: 3
Source: RefSeq, a predicted model, not a curated record